RNAcentral lists this ribosomal RNA (532 nucleotides) under uncultured bacterium. Its description in RNAcentral is "bacterial SSU rRNA". It matches the Rfam family "Bacterial small subunit ribosomal RNA", at positions 8 to 526 of the family's 1533-position model. The record is from RNAcentral.
AGAGUUUGAUCCUGGCUCAGGACGAACGCUGGCGGCGCGCUUAACACAUGCAAGUCGAGCGAGAACCAUGCCUUCGGGCAUGGGGACAGCGGCGAACGGGUGAGUAACACGUGGGUAAUCUGCCCUUGACAUCGGGAUAGCCCGGGGAAACCCGGAUUAAUGCCGAAUAGCCUCCGAAGCCCUCGGGCGUCGGAGAAAAGGUAGCUUCGGCCUCUGGUCAAGGAUGAGCCCGCGGCGGAUUAGCUUGUUGGCGGGGUAACGGCCCACCAAGGCGACGAUCCGUAGCUGGUCUGAGAGGACGAUCAGCCACACUGGGACUGAGACACGGCCCAGACUCCUACGGGAGGCAGCAGUGGGGAAUCUUGCGCAAAUGCGGGAAACCGUGACGCAGCGACGCCGCGUGGGGGAAGAAGGCCUUCGGGUUGUAAACCUCUUUCAGGAGGGACGAAGCUACUCGGGUUAAUAGCCCAGAGGGUGACGGUACCUCCAGAAGAAGCCCCGGCUAACUACGUGCCAGCAGCCGCGGUAAUAC